GACGAACGCUGGCGGCGUGCUUAACACAUGCAAGUCGAACGGAAAGGCCUCUUUCGGGGGGUACUCGAGUGGCGAACGGGUGAGUAACACGUGAGUAACCUGCCCUUGACUUUGGGAUAACUUCAGGAAACUGGGGCUAAUACCGGAUAGGAGCUCCUGCUGCAUGGUGGGGGUUGGAAAGUUUCGGCGGUUGGGGAUGGACUCGCGGCUUAUCAGCUUGUUGGUGGGGUAGUGGCUUACCAAGGCUUUGACGGGUAGCCGGCCUGAGAGGGUGACCGGCCACAUUGGGACUGAGAUACGGCCCAGACUCCUACGGGAGGCAGCAGUGGGGAAUAUUGCAUAAUGGGUGGAAGCCUGAUGCAGCAACGCCGUGUGCGGGAUGACGGCCUUCGGGUUGUAAACCGCUUUCGCUCAUGACGAAGCUUUGUGUGACGGUAGUGGGUAAAGAAGCACCGGCUAACUACGUG
RNAcentral lists this ribosomal RNA (467 nucleotides) under uncultured bacterium. RNAcentral's name for it is "partial 16S ribosomal RNA". It matches the Rfam family "Bacterial small subunit ribosomal RNA", at positions 28 to 507 of the family's 1533-position model. The record is from RNAcentral.